RNAcentral lists this ribosomal RNA (253 nucleotides) under uncultured bacterium. Its description in RNAcentral is "partial 16S ribosomal RNA". It matches the Rfam family "Bacterial small subunit ribosomal RNA", at positions 524 to 776 of the family's 1533-position model. The record is from RNAcentral.
UACGUAGGGCGCGAGCGUUAUCCGGAAUUAUUGGGCGUAAAGAGCUCGUAGGCGGUUUGUCACGUCUGCUGUGAAAGCCCAGGGCUCAACCCCGGGUGUGCAGUGGGUACGGGCAGACUAGAGUGCAGUAGGGGAGACUGGAAUUCCUGGUGUAGCGGUGAAAUGCGCAGAUAUCAGGAGGAACACCGAUGGCGAAGGCAGGUCUCUGGGCUGUUACUGACGCUGAGGAGCGAAAGCAUGGGGAACGAACAGG